GUUGGCUUGGAAGCAGCCAUUCAUUCAAAGAGUGCGUAACAGCUCACUAGUCGAGGGUCCGGGCAUGGAUAAUAAUCGGGUAUAAGGCAGACACCGAAGGCGCGGGAUAGCAUUUAAGAAAGUAUCGGUAGGGGAGCAUACUCACAGCGUGGAAUGGUGUACGUAAGUUAUCCUGGAGCGGUGAGUAAAGCAAAUGUAGGAAUAAGUAACGAUAAGGAGGGUUAGAUUCCCUCCCGCUGUAAGACCAAGGUUUCCCGGGCAAUGCCAAUCAGCCCGGGGUCAGUCGGGUCCUAAGUCUAAGCCGAACGGCGAUGGCGAUGGCAGAGACGGUUAAUAUUCCGUCACUGCCGCAUGGGGCGACGUGGAGACGGAGCAGUGAAACCACCGCGGGGCGACGGAAGUCCCCGUUGAAGAGUGUAGGUGUUGAGGAUGGCAGGCAAAUCCACCGUCCGAGCUGAACUUGAUAGUAUGGAGUCUUCUUCGGAAGAAUCCAAUAGUGUGGGUAAUCAUACUCCCGAGAAAAUCCGCUAAGCUUAACCCAUGCGGCACCCGUACCGCAAACGGACACACGUGGUCGGGUAGAACAUACUAAGGCGUUGAGAGAUUCAUGGUUAAGGAACUAGGCAAAUUGACCCUGUAACUUCGGGAUAAAGGGUCCUCGUGAUGAGCGAGGCGCAGAGAAUAGGUCCAGGCAACUGUUUAACAAAAACACAGGGCUGUGCAAACUCGAAAGAUGACGUAUACAGCCUGACACCUGCCCGGUGCCGGAAGGUUAAGAGGAGAUGUCACACUUAUGUGGAAGCAUUGAAUUGAAGCCCCGGUAAACGGCGGCCGUAACUAUAACGGUCCUAAGGUAGCGAAAUUCCUUGUCGGGUAAGUUCCGACCUGCACGAAUGGUGUAAUGAUCCGGACGCUGUCUCAACCAUGAGCUCAGUGAAAUUGUAGUAUCGGUGAAGAUGCCGAUUACCCGCGAUGGGACGAAAAGACCCCGUGAACCUUUACUACAGCUUAGCAUUGACCUUGGUCAUCCGAUGUGUAGGAUAGGCCGGAGGCUUCGAAGCGGGAGCGCCAGCUUUCGUGGAGCCAUCCUUGAAAUACGGCCCUUUGGCUGUCUGAGGUCUAACGCGUGAUACGCGGACACUGCUUGGUGGGUAGUUUGACUGGGGUGGUCGCCUCCAAAAGCGUAACGGAGGCUUCCAAAGGUGCCCUCGGGUCGAUUGGUAACCGACCUCAAAGAGUGCAAUGGCAUAAGGGCGCUUGACUGGGAGGCAGACAUGCCGAGCAGGCAGGAAACUGGGGCAUAGUGAUCCGGCGGAUGUGUAUGGAAACUCCGUCGCUCAAAGGAUAAAAGGUACUCCGGGGAUAACAGGCUGAUCCCCCCCA
RNAcentral lists this ribosomal RNA (1383 nucleotides) under human gut metagenome. Its description in RNAcentral is "bacterial LSU rRNA". It matches the Rfam family "Bacterial large subunit ribosomal RNA", at positions 1100 to 2494 of the family's 2925-position model. The record is from RNAcentral.